This is a non-coding RNA of Pelodiscus sinensis (Chinese soft-shelled turtle), 747 nucleotides long. Lineage: Eukaryota; Metazoa; Chordata; Testudines; Trionychidae. The record is from RefSeq and is a predicted model, not a curated record.
UUCAGGGGCAGGCAAGGUGGCUCGUCUCUCUUUUCAGUCCAAUUUGCGAAAAAGCCCCGACUUCGAGGAGAGCGCUCGCACAAUCGUGGCUUUUUCCCCCCGCACUAGGGUUGGGUCAGCCGCCCCGAGACAGCCCCGGGAUUCGCUGCGGCCGGGGAAGCUCCCUCCUGCAGGAUCUGUGGUCGGGGUUCGGUUAUUGAUCGUCGAGAGCCCAGACGCUUGUGAGGCGCCGCGCAGACCCCGCAACGUCGAUGGACCCUUUUGUCCUGCGAUAUUGCUGCACUGCUCCCAUCUCUGGAAAGCCGGUCGCUGCAGUGACCCCAAGAGAGGGACGGGGUGCAGUGUGCAAGUGCAGUGUGUCAGAAGAGGGGUGAAACCUGGCUCGCUAGUGCCGAUCCUUUCCCCCCCUUUCUCCUACAGUGUGUUCCUUCUUCGGAGCUGUCCUCCUCCUCAGCUCCCUUCUCGCUCUUCCUUUCUCCCAGCGUGGCCAGAGGCUGCAAUCCUGAAAAGAAUCGCCCAACUUUAAUAGAAUGAUUCAUAUGUUUCAAGUUGAGUGUGCGGGAAAAUAUUUGAGGCUGUGGCGCCUGUUUAGGUUAUUUUUGGCCCAGCUGUGUAUCAGAUGCACAAUCUUUUACAAAGCCUUAUCCCUGCAGGCCCGAUUCUGUGAUUGUUUUAAUACCGAUGAAAACACUUUUUUGAAAAAUAUAAAUAAAUAAAUAAUUUGCCUGUCCUGUGCAAUGAAACUGA